GGAAAAGCGAUGAUGAAGAGAGUAGAUAUAUUGUAUUUGUACAGAGAAUGUCCUUUUGGCUGAGAUGGACACGAAGAAGAUAUAUCGAACAUGGCUUCUGAGCAGCGCACCGAGUCAGUGUUAUGACUGAUAAGACUGCGACAGGGUUCGCCCGUUACAGCGACAGGGUAUGCAGUACCCGCAGAGACUUUUGCCGUGAGGCUAAGGUAAAUUAAGGUGGUAACACGGGAUAUAUACUCUCGUCCUUAUA
RNAcentral lists this non-coding RNA (250 nucleotides) under Roseburia sp. RNAcentral's name for it is "T-box sequence". It matches the Rfam family "T-box leader". Rfam says of the family: Uncharged tRNA acts as the effector for transcription antitermination of genes in the T-box leader family. T-boxes are found upstream of many aminoacyl-tRNA synthetase genes and some amino acid biosynthetic genes usually in Gram-positive bacteria. The anticodon of a specific tRNA base pairs to a specifier sequence within the T-box motif, and the NCCA acceptor tail of the tRNA base pairs to a conserved bulge in the T-box antiterminator hairpin. The record is from RNAcentral. Lineage: Bacteria; Bacillati; Bacillota; Clostridia; Lachnospirales; Lachnospiraceae.